CGGCUGGUAGCUCAGUGGCAGAGCAGCUCUCUUACAAGGAGUGGAGCGGGGGUUCGAGUCCCUCUCAGCCGACCA
Molecule: transfer RNA, 75 nt
Filed under: Aeromicrobium panaciterrae
Lineage: Bacteria; Bacillati; Actinomycetota; Actinomycetes; Propionibacteriales; Nocardioidaceae
Description: tRNA-Val
Rfam family: tRNA
About the family: Transfer RNA (tRNA) molecules are approximately 80 nucleotides in length. Their secondary structure includes four short double-helical elements and three loops (D, anti-codon, and T loops).
Source: RNAcentral